This 1131-nucleotide ribosomal RNA is filed under the name uncultured bacterium. RNAcentral describes it as "bacterial SSU rRNA". It matches the Rfam family "Bacterial small subunit ribosomal RNA", at positions 8 to 1147 of the family's 1533-position model. The record is from RNAcentral.
AAAGUUUGAUCCUGGCUCAAGAACGAACGCUGGCGGCGUGCCUAACAYAUGCAAGUCGAGCGAGAAAGUCCCCGCAAGGGGAUGAGUAAAGCGGCGAACGGGUGAGUAACACGUGGGCAACCUGCCCUUCAGUCAGGAAUAACCCCGCGAAAGCGGGGCUAAUACCGGAUGACGUCCUUCGGGGGCAUCCUUGGGGGACCAAAGGGGGCGAGCGAAAGCGGCUCCCGCUGAGGGAUGGGCCUGCGGCUGAUUAGCUAGUUGGUGGGGUAGCGGCCUACCAAGGCGACGAUCAGUAGCCGACCUGAGAGGGUGACCGGCCACACUGGGACUGAGACACGGCCCAGACUCCUACGGGAGGCAGCAGUGGGGAAUAUUGCGCAAUGGGCGAAAGCCUGACGCAGCGACGCCGCGUGGAURAUGAAGGCCUUCGGGUCGUAAAACCCUGUCGGGUGGAACGAAUCUCCGCUCCUCUAAUACAGGGGUGGAUUGACGGUACCACCGAAGGAAGCCCCGGCUAACUACGUGCCAGCAGCCGCGGUAAUACGUAGGGGGCGAGCGUUGUUCGGAUUUACUGGGCGUAAAGAGCGCGUAGGCGGUUCGAUGAGUCGGAGGUGAAAUCCCUCGGCUUAACCGAGGACCCGCGUCCGAUACUGUCGAACUUGAGUGCAGGAGAGGAGAGCGGAAUUCCCAGUGUAGCGGUGAAAUGCGUAGAUACUGGGAGGAACACCGGUGGCGAACGCGGCUCUCUGGACUGUCACUGACGCUGAGGCGCGAAAGCUAGGGGAGCAAACGGGAUUAGAUACCCCGGUAGUCCUAGCCGUAAACGAUGGGCACUACGUGUGGGGAGGUAUCGACCCCUUCCGUGCCGCAGCUAACGCAUUAAGUGCCCCGYCUGGGGAGUACGGCCGCAAGGUGAAACUCAAAGGAAUGACGGGGCCCGCACAAGCGGUGGAGCAUGUGGUUUAUCGACGCACGCGAGACCUUACAGGCUGAMUCCGCGAUCUGCGAAGCAGAUGCCGCAGACSCGGAAMGGKGUGCAUGCUGUCGUCACUCAGUCUGGAAGGUGGCUAGUCCGCACGAGSCAACCUUMCCCCUGAUGCCMUCAGUCAUGKCKGGGACAMCUYUUAAGGA